RNAcentral lists this ribosomal RNA (436 nucleotides) under uncultured bacterium. RNAcentral's name for it is "bacterial SSU rRNA". It matches the Rfam family "Bacterial small subunit ribosomal RNA", at positions 354 to 782 of the family's 1533-position model. The record is from RNAcentral.
GUGGGGAAUUUUGGACAAUGGGGGCAACCCUGAUCCAGCCAUGCCGCGUGAGUGAAGAAGGCCUUCGGGUUGUAAAGCUCUUUUGGUCGGGAAGAAAGUGCUCUGCCUAAUAGGUGGGGUAUUUGACGGUACCGGCAGAAUAAGCACCGGCUAACUACGUGCCAGCAGCCGCGGUAAUACGUAGGGUGCGAGCGUUAAUCGGAAUUACUGGGCGUAAAGCGUGCGCAGGCGGUUCGUUAAGUCUGAUGUGAAAGCCCCGGGCUCAACCUGGGAAUGGCAUUGGAAACUGGCGGGCUGGAGUAUGGCAGAGGGGGGUGGAAUUCCACGUGUAGCAGUGAAAUGCGUAGAGAUGUGGAGGAACACCGAUGGCGAAGGCAGCCCCCUGGGCCAAUACUGACGCUCAGGCACGAAAGCGUGGGGAGCAAACAGGAUUAGA